CCUACGGGUGGCAGCAGUAGGGAAUAUUGCUCAAUGGGGGAGACCCUGAAGCAGCAACGCCGCGUGGAGGAUGAAGGUUUUCGGAUUGUAAACUCCUUUUGUUAGAGGAGAUAAUGACGGUAUCUAACGAAUAAGCACCGGAUAACACCGUUCCAGCAGCGGCGGUAAUACGGAGGGUGCAAGCGUUACUCGGAUUCACUGAGCGUAAAGAGCGCGUAGACGGGAUAGCAAGUCAGAUGUGAAAUCCUAUGGCUUAACCAUAGAACUGCAUUUGAAACUGUUAUUCUAGAGUAUGGGAGAGGUAGGUGGAAUUCGUGGUGUAGCGGUAAAAUCCGUAGAGAUCAAGAGGAAUACUCAUUGCGAAGGCGACCUGCUAGAACAUAACUGACGCUGAUGCUCGAAAGCGUGGGGAGCAAACAGGAUUAGAUACCCGAGUAGUC
Molecule: ribosomal RNA, 440 nt
Filed under: uncultured bacterium
Lineage: Bacteria
Description: partial 16S ribosomal RNA
Rfam family: Bacterial small subunit ribosomal RNA
Source: RNAcentral